AUUGAACGCUGGCGGUAUGCUUAACACAUGCAAGUCGAACGAUAACAGUGAACUUCGGUUCAGCUGAUAAGUGGCGGACGGGUGAGUAAUACAUGGGAAUCUAUCUUUAAGCGGGGGACAACCUGGGGAAACUCAGGCUAAUACCGCAUGUGGCCUACGGGUUAAAGCAGGGGACUAUUUAUAGCCUUGUACUUAGAGGUGAGCCCAUGUCAGAUUAGCUAGUUGGUGGGUAAAGGCCUACCAAGGCUACGAUCUGUAACUGGUCUGAGAGGAUGAGCAGUCACACUGGGACUGAGACACGGCCCAGACUCCUACGGGAGGCAGCAGUGGGGAAUAUUGGACAAUGGGCGCAAGCCUGAUCCAGCAAUACCGCGUGUGUGAAGAAGGCCUUCGGGUUGUAAAGCACUUUCAGUUGGGAAGAAGUUUUAUGCGCUAAUAUCGUAUAGGAUUGACGUAACCAACAGAAGAAGCACCGGCUAACUCUGUG
RNAcentral lists this ribosomal RNA (487 nucleotides) under uncultured bacterium. RNAcentral's name for it is "bacterial SSU rRNA". It matches the Rfam family "Bacterial small subunit ribosomal RNA", at positions 30 to 507 of the family's 1533-position model. The record is from RNAcentral.